RNAcentral lists this ribosomal RNA (536 nucleotides) under uncultured bacterium. RNAcentral describes it as "bacterial SSU rRNA". It matches the Rfam family "Bacterial small subunit ribosomal RNA", at positions 355 to 896 of the family's 1533-position model. The record is from RNAcentral.
UAGGGAAUUUUCGGCAAUGGGGGAAACCCUGACCGAGCAACGCCGCGUGAGUGAUGACGGCCUUCGGGUUGUAAAGCUCUGUUGUAAGGGAAGAACGGUAGAUAGAGAAUAUCUAAGUGACGGUACCUUACCAGAAAGCCACGGCCAACUACGUGCCAGCAGCCGCGGUAAUACGUAGGUGGCGAGCGUUAUCCGGAAUUAUUGGGCGUAAAGGGUGCGUAGGCGGCCUGUUAAGUAAGUGGUUAAAUUGUUGGGCUCAACCCAAUCCAGCCACUUAAACUGGCAGGCUAGAGUAUUGGAGAGGCAAGUGGAAUUCCAUGUGUAGCGGUAAAAUGCGUAGAUAUAUGGAGGAACACCAGUGGCGAAGGCGGCUUGCUAGCCAAAGACUGACGCUCAUGCACGAAAGCGUGGGGAGCAAAUAGGAUUAGAUACCCUAGUAGUCCACGCCGUAAACGAUGAAUACUAAGUAUUGGGGAAACUCAGUGCUGCAGCUAACGCAAUAAGUAUUCCGCCUGUGGAGUAUGCACGCAAGUGUG